ACUGGACCCAACUGGACCCAAUUGGACUCACUGGACUAACUGGACUCACUGGACUAACUGGACUCACUGGACUAACUGGACUCACUGGACUGGGACCAAUUUGUCUGAGUAGAAUCCAACUGGACUGAACUGGGAGGUGGAGGGUUAAAGUGGACUGAGCCAGGGCUGAACUGGUCCUUACUGGUCUGAGCUGGUCCGUGGAACAGGAAGUGGUCUGGAUGGACGGUUUCCAGGCGUACGGGGCGGGGAAGGCGGGCGGAGAGUUCGACCCCCUGACCUUCAUCAGACAGCCUCAGACCGUGGUGAGGAUCGUCUGCUGGCUCUUCUCCAUCGUGAUCCUCGGCUGCGUCGCUAAUGAGGGUUACGUUAACCGCCCCGAAGAGGUGGAGGAGUCCUGCAUCUUCAACCGCAACCAGCACGCCUGCAACUACGCCGUCGCCAUGGGAACGCUGUGCUUCCUCUGCAGCACCGGUUUCCUGGCGCUGGACGUUUACUUCCCUCAGAUCACCGGCGUGAAGGACAGGAAGAAGGCCGUCAUGGCCGACAUCGCGGUGUCAGGUUUCUGGUGUGUGGUCUGGUUCGUGGGGUUUUGUUUCCUGGCCAACCAGUGGCAGGUUUCUGAAGAGGAAGACAACCCUCUGAAUGAAGGCGCAGACGCUGCCAGAGCCACCAUCGUCUUCUCCUUCUUCUCCGUCUUCACCUGGGGAGGUCUCACUCUGCUGUCGUCGGAGCGUCUCAAGAGAGUCUCGUUUGAAGAAGAAUACAACAAACUGUUCAGCCCGCCACUCGCCUGAAACACACACACACACACACACACACACACACACACAUCUAACGACACCUCUCUCCUUCAGCCUCCUUCUCCUUCCUGUUUCCUCAUCAACUCAGUCUGGACUCUGAUUGGCUGCUCUAAAGUGCCUGUCAUCCAAAGUGCCUUCUGUUUCCAUGACAACAGAGUGAUGUAGUUUUGUGUCUGAGAUGAUUUAUAAACGUCAUGUGAAGUGUGUUAUUAUUAUUAUUAGUAUUAAUUAUAUUAUUAUAAUUAUUAUUAUUGUUGUUAUUGUUAUUACAGUGAUGCCAUGUUGUGUAAGAUGAUGUCAUCAUAUAUUCUGAUUAAUGACGAUGAUGUAAUGAUCUGUGAUGAAAGAUGAAGAUAAAUGAGUGGUACACAAAGAGUUAAUGGACUCUGCGCUGAUGUCUCUGAUGUGGAUCCAGACCUUCUGGAUCAGUUUACCUGUUCUGCCUUUACCUGUUGAUUCCAGUGAGGUGAACUCACCUGUCCACCUGCGCUCCAGUGUCUGCUGGCCGUCCACAGGUUCAAACUGGGAGCUGAUUCUGUCACCUUCAAUCACGAGUACGUCGACCCCAACCAACAGGAAGCUCUGGAGGAGGCCCCGCCCACCGAGGAGUAGAGGGGGCGUG
RNA transcript from Sebastes umbrosus (honeycomb rockfish), 1422 nucleotides. It is a transcript of the gene named synaptogyrin 1a, with no coding region annotated. Lineage: Eukaryota; Metazoa; Chordata; Actinopteri; Perciformes; Sebastidae. The record is from RefSeq and is a predicted model, not a curated record. The transcript is spliced from 5 exons.